Molecule: long non-coding RNA, 1360 nt
Organism: Photinus pyralis (common eastern firefly)
Lineage: Eukaryota; Metazoa; Arthropoda; Insecta; Coleoptera; Lampyridae
Exons: 2
Source: RefSeq, a predicted model, not a curated record
UGUGGGGCGUAUGGCCAUUCGUAAUCUUUUUAAAUGUCAUUUCUAGUCACCAAUACUACGAAUAAAAAUGUGUUACUAGCAUUAAUAAAUUAACCUUAGCGAAACCUUCCUAGCCCCGCACGUCGCGUUAUAUAAGAUUAGCUAGAUUUGAGCGAAAAUCUGAAAUGAUGCGACGUAUCAAAAAGCUCACACCACAUAAUUAAUGUACAUUUUUAGCGCAUAUUUGCAAAUUUACUUGUAAUAAUGUAGCUUUCCAUCUCAGUUUGACCGAUUGACUGGCUCAUGGCUGGCGGGCUAGCAAAUGAGGGCCCGUAGAAGAACGCUUGAAGAAAGACGAGGAGUGAACAUGUACCUACUGGGGCCGUGUAAUUAACAACUUUAGGGACGGGGCUCCAUGAUGUGAGGUCGGCGACAUCUGGGCGCCAUCCACGACCGUGUUAUACUAACGCGGUGAUUUUUAGCACGAUAACAAACUCUAUUUUUGCCUGUGCGAAAAAAUAGUCUUUUACCACUGCCACUUAAUUGAACAUCAUAUAAUAAUAAUAUGUUUAUUUCUGUUAAUAUGCUAUAAAGAGGCAUAUGUGGAAAGUACCAAGCUUAUGACAGCAGUUAAUAACGAUUGGAAUAUAACAGUUGAACCAAGUGCUGGUGUCGAUAGUCAAAUCUGGCAUUGUCCUAAAUGUCCUAAAGCGUACACAAAAAGAGUUUCAUAUUACUUGCACGUACGGUACGAUUGUGGACCACAAGGAUUUAAGUGUUUGUAUCCAAGUUGCACUUAUACGUGUUCUAGGAAGUAUCAUUUACAGAGACACACGGCCACUGUUCAUAAAUCUUACAAUUUGUAGUCGUCAUUCUUUGUAUUGUUCUUUAUGUAAUAAAAUAAUGUUGAAAUUCUUAAGCUUAUCCUAGGAAUAAACGAUUUGUGGGUUCUUUUGAAUGAAACUGUUCCAUCUAACAAAAUUGGCGCUCGUAUCUACCUGCUGACUAAAGUCCCUAGAUUAUUAAAGCAACGCGAUUGAUUAGGCCAGUGUAUUAGACAAAAACAAGCUGCUAAUUGAGCCAAAAUGGCCGUUUGACACCUAGUGUCAGGUUUGACAUUUGUUGUUUUGUAUUAUAAUAGUUGUGUGUACAUUAAAGAAAGUACUGAUGAACCAUUAAUUCACUAGAGAAGUACAUCUAGGCACUUUUGCAAGAAAACAGAAACCGAAAAAAAAAAUUACCUACUCAGAAGUGAAGACAAUUUUUCGGAAACUUUUUAUGAAGAUACCAAUUUAAGAAUCGUCUUGAUAACAAGAAUUAGAAAAGAUUAAUUGUUAACUAAUUGUACGUUCGUAACCGAUAUUAUAUUUUAUUUUAUUUA